This 465-nucleotide ribosomal RNA is filed under the name uncultured bacterium. RNAcentral describes it as "partial 16S ribosomal RNA". It matches the Rfam family "Bacterial small subunit ribosomal RNA", at positions 28 to 507 of the family's 1533-position model. The record is from RNAcentral.
GACGAACGCUGGCGGCGUGCUUAACACAUGCAAGUCGAACGGAAAGGCCCCUUUGGGGGUACUCGAGUGGCGAACGGGUGAGUAACACGUGAGUAACCUGCCCUUGACUUCGGGAUAACUUCAGGAAACUGGGGCUAAUACCGGAUAGGAAUCCUUGCUGCAUGGUGGGGGUUGGAAAGCUUCGGCGGUUUUGGAUGGACUCGCGGCUUAUCAGCUUGUUGGUGGGGUAGUGGCUUACCAAGGCUUUGACGGGUAGCCGGCCUGAGAGGGCGACCGGCCACAUUGGGACUGAGAUACGGCCCAGACUCCUACGGGAGGCAGCAGUGGGGAAUAUUGCACAAUGGGCGGAAGCCUGAUGCAGCAACGCCGCGUGCGGGAUGACGGCCUUCGGGUUGUAAACCGCUUUCAGCAGGGGCGAAGCUUGUGGUGACGGCACCUGCAGAAGAAGCACCGGCUAACUACGUG